AGGGAACUCCCUAAUCAAGCUGCGUCCUCAUCCUCUGACGCUCUCCACUCUUCUUCAUGUGCUUACUGCUCAUCAUCAUCAUCAUCAUCAUCAUCAUUAUCUGACUACUCUGGCUUGGCCUCAGACUGCUCAAAUGUAUUGAUAUCCUCAUCAUCGGGGAGUCCGUAUGCAUCACCUAUCCCAACCAGUUGUUGGGCAUGAGUAUUGAAUGGUACCACUACUCCAAUAAUGUCCUCUCCUCAUAUGUGGCCGGUCGACCCCCUAUCCUCAACUUCAAAUCCAUCAUCCCAUAGAGAUGGGCCAUAAAACUAUCAUCACGAGCAUUGCACUCGGCACCUGUCAAAGACGUCAUGACAGUCUCCUCUUUCAUCCGGAUACUAGUGAUGUCCGUUUGUCAUAGAGGCUGAUCAAUAGUGUGGUCAAACUCUGGCUCAUCCUGAACCUCCACAUGUCUUAAGAAUUAAGUCAAAAAUUGGCAAAUGGCAUUCGAUCAACCUUCUUACUCGUUCUGACUAAAGAUACCUGGUAGCGGAUUAAAUGACCCACACACCCUUUGAACAAUCAUGAGGAAGUAGAGUGCACAAGUCCUCUCAUG
RNAcentral lists this long non-coding RNA (595 nucleotides) under Nicotiana benthamiana. Its description in RNAcentral is "long non-coding RNA (NBEN_LNC010772)". The record is from RNAcentral. Lineage: Eukaryota; Viridiplantae; Streptophyta; Magnoliopsida; Solanales; Solanaceae.